RNAcentral lists this ribosomal RNA (590 nucleotides) under uncultured Rhodocyclaceae bacterium. RNAcentral's name for it is "bacterial SSU rRNA". It matches the Rfam family "Bacterial small subunit ribosomal RNA", at positions 335 to 916 of the family's 1533-position model. Lineage: Bacteria; Pseudomonadati; Pseudomonadota; Betaproteobacteria; Rhodocyclales; Rhodocyclaceae. The record is from RNAcentral.
ACUCCUACGGGAGGCAGCAGUGGGGAAUUUUGGACAAUGGGGGAAACCCUGAUCCAGCCAUGCCGCGUGAGUGAAGAAGGCCUUCGGGUUGUAAAGCUCUUUCAGACGGAAAGAAACGGUCGCAACUAAUACUUGCGACUAAUGACGGUACCGUAAGAAGAAGCACCGGCUAACUACGUGCCAGCAGCCGCGGUAAUACGUAGGGUGCGAGCGUUAAUCGGAAUUACUGGGCGUAAAGCGUGCGCAGGCGGUUUUGUAAGACAGACGUGAAAUCCCCGGGCUUAACCUGGGAACUGCGUUUGUGACUGCAAGGCUAGAGUACGGCAGAGGGGGGUAGAAUUCCACGUGUAGCAGUGAAAUGCGUAGAUAUGUGGAGGAAUACCGAUGGCGAAGGCAGCCCCCUGGGUCGAUACUGACGCUCAUGCACGAAAGCGUGGGGAGCAAACAGGAUUAGAUACCCUGGUAGUCCACGCCCUAAACGAUGUCAACUAGGUGUUGGGGAAGGAGACUUCUUUAGUACCGCAGCUAACGCGAUAAGUUGACCGCCUGGGGAGUACGGUCCCAAGAUUAAAACUCAAAUGAAUUGACGG